AAGAGCAAAAAGAAAGUAUAAUGAAUCUUCUAUUAACAAAUACAUAUUGGUGGUGGCACUCUCAACUCAAAAAGUCGUGAGCCAAAUCGGUGUGUAUUUACAAAUAGAAAAUUUUUAAAAUACAAAGCCUAUC
Regulatory RNA element from Dysgonomonas mossii DSM 22836, 133 nucleotides. It matches the Rfam family "Bacteroidete tryptophan peptide leader RNA". The record is from Rfam. Lineage: Bacteria; Pseudomonadati; Bacteroidota; Bacteroidia; Bacteroidales; Dysgonomonadaceae.